This 945-nucleotide ribosomal RNA is filed under the name uncultured archaeon. RNAcentral describes it as "bacterial SSU rRNA". It matches the Rfam family "Archaeal small subunit ribosomal RNA", at positions 1 to 923 of the family's 1478-position model. The record is from RNAcentral.
UCCGGUUGAUCCUGCCGGACCCCACUGCUAUCGGGGUGGGACUAAGACAUGCAAGACGUGCGCCUCCAAGCCACGGUGGAGGCGCGGCGCACAGCUCAGUAACACGUGGCUAACCUACCCUUGGGACAGGGACAACCCCGGGAAACUGGGGCUAAUCCCCGAUAGGUGAGGACUCCUGGAAUGGGUCCUCGCUGAAAGGGCGUCUAGACCAUGCUUCUAGACGCUGCCCAAGGAUGGGGCCGCGGCCGAUCAGGUUGUUGGUGAGGUAACGGCUCACCAAGCCUAAGACCGGUACGGGCCGUGAGAGCGGGAGCCCGGAGAUGGACACUGAGACAAGGGUCCAGGCCCUACGGGGCGCAGCAGUCGCGAAACCUCCGCAAUACGCGAAAGCGUGACGGGGCCACCCCGAGUGCCGUCCGCUGAGGACGGCUUUUCCCCAGUGUAGACAGCUGGGGGAAUAAGGGGAGGGCAAGUCGGGUGUCAGCCGCCGCGGUAAUACCCGCUCCCCGAGUGGUGGGGACGCUUAUUGGGCCUAAAGCAUCCGUAGCCGGCUGGACAAGUCCCCUGUUAAAUCCAGCGAUUUAAUCGCUGGACUGCGGGGGAUACUGCCCAGCUAGGGGGCGGGAGAGGCCGGCGGUAUUCCCGGGGUAGGGGUGAAAUCUUAUAAUCCCGGGAGGACCACCAGUGGCGAAGGCUGCCGGCUGGAACGCGCCCGACGGUGAGGGAUGAAAGCUGGGGGAGCGAACCGGAUUAGAUACCCGGGUAGUCCCAGCUGUAAACGAUGCGGGCUAGGUGUUGGCACGGCUACAAGCCGUGUCAGUGCCGCAGGGAAGCCGUUAAGCCCGCCGCCUGGGGAGUACGGCCGCAAGGCUGAAACUUAAAGGAAUUGGCGGGGGAGCACCACAAGGGUUUAUCCUUGCGGUUUAAUUGGAGUCAACGCCGGGA